Long non-coding RNA from Mesocricetus auratus (golden hamster), 854 nucleotides. RefSeq lists it as uncharacterized. The record is from RefSeq and is a predicted model, not a curated record. The transcript is spliced from 3 exons. Lineage: Eukaryota; Metazoa; Chordata; Mammalia; Rodentia; Cricetidae.
CCUCAGAAUUGCUAAAUUGUCUGUACACACACACACGCACACACCAAGUAGGAGCAUCACAGCUUACACAGGGGGCAACACAGCUUACACAGGGGGCAAGGACAUGUACCUGCCUGUCUUGGCUCACCCCACCCCCACCUCUGCAGGCAGAAGUCCAGGGAAAUGCAACCUGAAGAACCGGAUUUCACUCAGGCCGAGUCACCCCAGGGGUGCCUUGUGGUGCAUUAAAAUAGCCUUUUAAAACUCUACACAGCACUGCAUUGCCAGGGUUCCCUAGAGGAAUGGAACAACUUCUAGCCCAGGUGAGAGCUGGGAAGUGGGCUGAUGAGAGUUGGUCGGCAGCUCGGCGGCUCUGCGGCUCUGCGGCUCUGAGAUCUGAUCCAGCUUCAAGCCCGAUGACUCUACACCAGGGCAGGUGCACAGCCUUAAAACUCCUCAAAAUCGGGGGCAAAGAAAGAGACUAAGGAGCCCGCACACGCAAGCUCUGGCUGGCCAAUUGUUCAUCCACAAGACUCUGAAACGGCCUUGCAGACACACCCCAUGGAUGAUAACUGUCAGCACCUAGUGAGGCCAAGAGGUGGGCAUGCUUCAGUGCCCCACAGCCCUGUCACCUGGGGACCCACAUCAAGAGUGCCUCUGCGUAAAAUGCCUGGCCAACGCCUUCCCCAGUAGUUUUGAGUUUGGUUACUAUGGUGCAGCCCAAUCCAUGGCCAGUGGAACCUUUCUAGAACAAUUGGAUGGACUGGCACAGGCACAGCUCGUUGGCUCCUGCAGGGACCUCUGUUUACUGCUGUCUGGACAGAACUUCUUCCAGGUCAUCCCAGGCCCCUGCUCCUCCAGACAGAAGCCUUAUG